AUACGUAGGGUCCAAGCGUUAAUCGGAAUUACUGGGCGUAAAGCGUGCGCAGGCGGUUUUGUAAGACCGAUGUGAAAUCCCCGGGCUCAACCUGGGAACUGCAUUGGUGACUGCAGGGCUUGAGUGUGUCAGAGGGAGGUGGAAUUCCGCGUGUAGCAGUGAAAUGCGUAGAUAUGCGGAGGAACACCGAUGGCGAAGGCAGCCUCCUGGGAUAACACUGACGCUCAUGCACGAAAGCGUGGGGAGCAAACAGGAUUAGAUACCCUGGUAGUCCACGCCCUAAACGAUGUCUACUAGUUGUCGGGAAUUAAUUGUCUUGGUAACGCAGCUAACGCGUGAAGUAGACCGCCUGGGGAGUACGGUCGCAAGAUUAAA
This 375-nucleotide ribosomal RNA is filed under the name uncultured bacterium. RNAcentral's name for it is "bacterial SSU rRNA". It matches the Rfam family "Bacterial small subunit ribosomal RNA", at positions 523 to 898 of the family's 1533-position model. The record is from RNAcentral.